AACGAACGCUGGCGGCAGGCCUAACACAUGCAAGUCGAACGAAGUCUUCGGACUUAGUGGCGUACGGGUGAGUAACACGUGGGAAUAUACCUUACGCUGGGGGAUAACAUCGGGAAACUGAUGCUAAUACCGCAUACGCCCUUCGGGGGAAAGAUUUAUCGGCGAAAGAUUAGCCCGCGUCCGAUUAGCUAGUUGGUGAGGUAAUGGCUCACCAAGGCUCCGAUCGGUAGCUGGUCUGAGAGGAUGACCAGCCACACUGGGACUGAGACACGGCCCAGACUCCUACGGGAGGCAGCAGUGGGGAAUAUUGGACAAUGGGCGCAAGCCUGAUCCAGCCAUGCCGCGUGAGUGAUGAAGGCCUUAGGGUUGUAAAGCUCUUUCACCCACGACGAUGAUGACGGUAGUGGGAGAAGAAGCCCCGGCUAACUUCGUG
This 433-nucleotide ribosomal RNA is filed under the name uncultured bacterium. RNAcentral describes it as "partial 16S ribosomal RNA". It matches the Rfam family "Bacterial small subunit ribosomal RNA", at positions 29 to 507 of the family's 1533-position model. The record is from RNAcentral.